GGGCUUAUAGUGUAGUUGGUUAUCGCGCCCGCUUCGCAACGGUGUUAUUCACGUGAUAACCACAUGACGCUGCGGGAGGUGCUGGGUUCAAUUCCCAGUGAGUCCA
This is a non-coding RNA of Mycena epipterygia, 106 nucleotides long. Lineage: Eukaryota; Fungi; Basidiomycota; Agaricomycetes; Agaricales; Mycenaceae. The record is from the annotation of a GenBank genome assembly.